Molecule: long non-coding RNA, 535 nt
Organism: Oncorhynchus keta (chum salmon)
Lineage: Eukaryota; Metazoa; Chordata; Actinopteri; Salmoniformes; Salmonidae
Exons: 5
Source: RefSeq, a predicted model, not a curated record
CACUAAAAUACUAGAAAGGUUGUGGUAUUGGCACUAAAAUACCAGAAAGGUUGUGGUAUUGGCACUAAAAUACCAGAAAGGUUGUGGUAUUGGCACUAAAAUACCAGAAAGGUUGUGGUAUUGGCACUAAAAUACCAGAAAGGUUGUGGUAUUGGCACUAAAAUACCAGAAAGGUUGUGGUAUUGGCACUAAAAUACCAGAAAGGUUGUGGUAUUGGCACUAAAAUACCAGAAAGGUUGUGGUAUUGGCACUAAAAUACCAGAAAGGUUGUGGUAUUGGCACUAAAAUACCAGAAAGGUUGUGGUAUUGGCACUAAAAUACCAGAAAGGUUGUGGUAUUGGCACUAAAAUACUAGAAAGGUUGUGGUAUUGGCACUAAAAUACCAGAAAGGUUGUGGUAUUGGCACUAAAAUACCAGAAAGGUUGUGGUAUUGGCACUAAAAUACCAGAAAGGUUGUGGUAUUGGCACUAAAAUACCAGAAAGGUUGUGGUAUUGGCACUAAAAUACCAGAAAGGUUGUGGUAUUGGCACUAAAA